CCCGAGCAGUGACUCUCUCUCCUGGUCCGUCCCACCCGCCCCGACCCUGCGCCUCGCAGAGAAGCGGUGUCCGUGCAGGGAGCAGCUCCUGAGCCGGCCCCAGGGCGAGGACUGGCCGCAGACGCGCAGAGACGAUGCGGUGGUGGCUGCAUUUUGCUCUCAUCGCAGCAGCGUCCAAAGGGGCCCAGGCGCAGGGGCGGCUGGUGGAGUCCGGCGGCGGGGCUGUGAAGACAGGGGGCUCUGCGCGACUCUCCUGCUCAGGCUUCGGAUUCGCUUUCAGCAGCUACACCAUGUUCUGGUACCGGCAGCGUCCCGGGAAAGGGCUGGAAUGGGUAUCCCGCAUCACCAGCACUGGUGGGAGCAAAGAUUACACUAAUUCAGUGAAAGGGCGAUUCACCGUCUCCAGGGACAACGCCAAGAGCCAGCUGUAUCUGCAAAUGAGCCGCCUGGGACCCGAGGACACCGCCCGGUAUCAUUGCGCUGCUAGAGACACAGUGAGAGGAAGCCGGUGCGAGCUCAGACAAAAACUCGCUGCGUUCAGCUCAGGAGAUUCGGGAGCGUCUCAUGACUAGCAUUACGCCCUGAACGCCGGUGUCCCUCAACCACAGCUCAUAGCCCGCUGCUCACCCACCCACUCACUGCAGCUCCUUAGUGGCGUCCUUGUCCAGAGUAGUGCGUUCUCGGGGUGCAAGGUGUGUGUCUGUGCACGGAGGGACAGGAGCUGUUCUCAGAGCACAGAGCAGGGAUAUAAACACAGACAGCCGGGGGUGAGAGCAGAGAACUGACCUGAACUCUGCUGGGUUCACCAGCAAACCUGCGGGCGUCUACAAAGCCGGGCUGCUGCAGAAGUUCUUUCACAGCGCAUCGUGAGAGAACGUGUCUGUCCUUCCUCAGCACUUGGGUGGAAGGGCUGUUCCUCCAGCAACACGUUCAAAGAAAAGGGCUCCAGAUUUUUGUACACAACUAGUAGCGUGGUGGGGAGUCUACUCCAAGAGAGGACCUAUCCCAAAUGUUGGCUCUCGUGCU
Molecule: non-coding RNA, 1026 nt
Organism: Dermochelys coriacea (leatherback sea turtle)
Lineage: Eukaryota; Metazoa; Chordata; Testudines; Dermochelyidae
Source: the annotation of a RefSeq genome assembly